UACGUAGGGCGCAAGCGUUAUCCGGAAUUAUUGGGCGUAAAGAGCUCGUAGGCGGCUUGUCACGUCGGGUGUGAAAGCCCGGGGCUUAACCCCGGGUCUGCAUUCGAUACGGGCUAGCUAGAGUGUGGUAGGGGAGAUCGGAAUUCCUGGUGUAGCGGUGGAAUGCGCAGAUAUCAGGAGGAACACCGGUGGCGAAGGCGGGUCUCUGGGCAGUAACUGACGCUGAGGAGCGAAAGCGUGGGGAGCGAACAGG
Molecule: ribosomal RNA, 253 nt
Filed under: uncultured bacterium
Lineage: Bacteria
Description: partial 16S ribosomal RNA
Rfam family: Bacterial small subunit ribosomal RNA
Source: RNAcentral